RNAcentral lists this ribosomal RNA (232 nucleotides) under uncultured bacterium. Its description in RNAcentral is "partial 16S ribosomal RNA". It matches the Rfam family "Bacterial small subunit ribosomal RNA", at positions 99 to 334 of the family's 1533-position model. The record is from RNAcentral.
CGAACGGGUGAGUAAUGUAUCGGAACGUGCCCAGUAGUGGGGGAUAGCCCGGCGAAAGCCGGAUUAAUACCGCAUACGACCUACGGGUGAAAGAGGGGGAUCGCAAGACCUCUCGCUAUUGGAGCGGCCGAUAUCAGAUUAGGUAGUUGGUGGGGUAAAAGCCUACCAAGCCGACGAUCUGUAGCUGGUCUGAGAGGACGACCAGCCACACUGGGACUGAGACACGGCCCAG